Molecule: small nucleolar RNA, 128 nt
Organism: Callithrix jacchus (white-tufted-ear marmoset)
Lineage: Eukaryota; Metazoa; Chordata; Mammalia; Primates; Cebidae
Gene: SNORA56
Product: small nucleolar RNA, H/ACA box 56
Source: Ensembl
CGGCAGACAGUUACCGUUUCUAGUCUGGCUUGUGGGACUCUAGAGGGAGUCAGUCUGCAACAAUAACUGGUGAGUUCUUUUCUCCAGUGUCAGUAUUUUGAUGGUGGCUCUAGACUUGCCAGAUAACA